UCCGCUUCCUGGAAGCUCGGUUUCGGCGUGCCUAUCAUGCAAAUCUAGCUAUUAAUGAUACCAUCCCCUUCCGGACGGUAGCUUUUUGGCAGGAUUUUCGGGGAACGCCUCCCUCCUCCCUAGCAGAACAGAGGGAUCAGAAAAACAGCCCACGAAGCAGCCUCGCGUUGCCUUCAUGUUGCCUGCAGGGGAAGGCUCCUUUACCGCCCUUCGUUCCCACUUCCUGUCUACAGCUCGAUGAACGACUGCAGUUCCUUUCUUGGCGAGCUGCACGCCCGACUCGGAUGAGUGCCAUUCGCAAGGAUUCCCGUGAGGAGACCGAGCAAACUCAGCCUGGCCAGAUGCCGACUGGUUCGCUGAGCGUUCCCGGGCCUAGGGAGGCCACACCCCAGAGCUUAGCGGGAGGUGAUGAAACCAUUUUAUCAACAUGAAGACGAAACACAAAACAUAUAGCGUUCUGGUUAGAGACAUUUUUCUAUUGCGUGGCAGUCAGCCUUUCCUGGCUUGCGGACCAUUUUCAACGCGCGAGUCUUCUUCUGGCUUGCGGGUUGUUUUUGGAACGCAAGUCUGUCUCGCUCUUUGGCGUGCGGAUCAUUUUUGGAACGCGAGUCUGCUCUUUGGCUUGCGGAUCAUUCUCAGCACGCGAGUCUCUGGUUUGGGGAUCACUUUUGGAACGCAAAUUUCUUCGGAGUUGCAGUUGGAUUGUCCUCCCGAGGUAUUAGGACCCCUCGAGAUACUAGGAACCGCCGAGGUACUAAGAACCCCCCAGAUACUAAGAACCCCCGAGAUACUAAGAACCCCCGAGGUAUUAAGAACCCC
RNAcentral lists this small RNA (819 nucleotides) under Histoplasma capsulatum var. duboisii H88. RNAcentral describes it as "Histoplasma capsulatum H88 hypothetical RNA". Lineage: Eukaryota; Fungi; Ascomycota; Eurotiomycetes; Onygenales; Ajellomycetaceae. The record is from RNAcentral.